Molecule: non-coding RNA, 590 nt
Organism: Camellia sinensis
Lineage: Eukaryota; Viridiplantae; Streptophyta; Magnoliopsida; Ericales; Theaceae
Source: RefSeq, a predicted model, not a curated record
AAUUAUACCUUCAUAUAUGAGAGUGAAAAAUCUUGCAAUUUGCUUGCUUUGUAUUAAUGUAUUACGUAUGACAUUGCAUUUUUUCCUAGGUAACUUUUGGGUGAUCUAAAUCAUUUGAAUAACUCUAUCAAGACACAUAUCAGAAGAAAUAUUGUGUAUGAGAGAGGGACUAACAUGCAAAAUUGCUCCAUUUCCUGCAUAGUUUGAAGUCUUGAGGGGUAGGGAGACUAUUGAAGGUUUAGCUGCCUCUGCGUAAUCUGCAAAAUUAAUCGAGACUUCUCCCAGGAGACCUGAUUUUGACGAUCCCUGCAAGAUUUCAAAGUUUCAGAAGACAUCUAUGGGAACAAAGUCUGAAGGAGUAAACCUGAUUAUCCCAACAACAGGUUCCAUCCACAAUGGCAGCUUUCUCUAAUCUCACCGUCGGCUUUCCAACAUCCGCGGGAACCAGAGAUAUUGUCAGUGUUUUUGCUUUCAAUUGUGGCACCUGUAAACGGUACAGUUCACAAACCAGAUAAAUAUUAUCUACUUUUCAUUUUUUGUAUAUUGAUUAACACUUAUAUAGUCAAAUAUUUCAGUUUAGUUGUAGGAAA